Molecule: ribosomal RNA, 533 nt
Filed under: uncultured bacterium
Lineage: Bacteria
Description: bacterial SSU rRNA
Rfam family: Bacterial small subunit ribosomal RNA
Source: RNAcentral
AAUAGAUACCCGGGUAGUCCACGCCGUAAACGAUGUCGACUUGGAGGUUGUUCCCUUGAGGAGUGGCUUCCGGAGCUAACGCGUUAAGUCGACCGCCUGGGGAGUACGGCCGCAAGGUUAAAACUCAAAUGAAUUGACGGGGGCCCGCACAAGCGGUGGAGCAUGUGGUUUAAUUCGAUGCAACGCGAAGAACCUUACCUACUCUUGACAUCCAGAGAACUUUCCAGAGAUGGAUUGGUGCCUUCGGGAACUCUGAGACAGGUGCUGCAUGGCUGUCGUCAGCUCGUGUUGUGAAAUGUUGGGUUAAGUCCCGCAACGAGCGCAACCCUUAUCCUUUGUUGCCAGCGGUUCGGCCGGGAACUCAAAGGAGACUGCCAGUGAUAAACUGGAGGAAGUGGGGAUGACGUCAAGUCAUCAUGGCCCUUACGAGUAGGGCUACACACGUGCUACAAUGGCAUAUACAAAGAGAAGCGACCUCGCGAGAGCAAGCGGACCUCAUAAAGUAUGUCGUAGUCCGGAUUGGAGUCUGCAAC